RNAcentral lists this ribosomal RNA (497 nucleotides) under uncultured bacterium. RNAcentral describes it as "partial 16S ribosomal RNA". It matches the Rfam family "Bacterial small subunit ribosomal RNA", at positions 34 to 507 of the family's 1533-position model. The record is from RNAcentral.
UCCGCCCGCUGGCGGCGUGCCUAAUACAUGCAAGUUGAGCGCUGAAGGUUGGUACUUGUACCAACUGGAUGAGCAGCGAACGGGUGAGUAACGCGUGGGGAAUCUGCCUUUGAGCGGGGGACAACAAUUGGAAACGAAUGCUAAUACCGCAUAAAAACUUUAAACACAAGUUUUAAGUUUGAAAGAUGCAAUUGCAUCACUCAAAGAUGAUCCCGCGUUGUAUUAGCUAGUUGGUGAGGUAAAGGCUCACCAAGGCGAUGAUACAUAGCCGACCUGAGAGGGUGAUCGGCCACAUUGGGACUGAGACACGGCCCAAACUCCUACGGGAGGCAGCAGUAGGGAAUCUUCGGCAAUGGACGAAAGUCUGACCGAGCAACGCCGCGUGAGUGAAGAAGGGUUUCGGAUCGUAAAACUCUGUUGGUAGAGAAGAACGUUGGUGAGAGUGGAAAGCUCAUCAAGUGACGGUAACUACCCAGAAAGGGACGGCUAACUACGUG